RNAcentral lists this ribosomal RNA (386 nucleotides) under uncultured bacterium. RNAcentral's name for it is "bacterial SSU rRNA". It matches the Rfam family "Bacterial small subunit ribosomal RNA", at positions 553 to 938 of the family's 1533-position model. The record is from RNAcentral.
UCUGGGCGUAAAGCGUGCGUAGGCGGCUUUUUAAGUCGGAUGUGAAAUCCCUGAGCUUAACUUAGGAAUUGCAUUCGAUACUGGGAAGCUAGAGUAUGGGAGAGGAUGGUAGAAUUCCAGGUGUAGCGGUGAAAUGCGUAGAGAUCUGGAGGAAUACCGAUGGCGAAGGCAGCCAUCUGGCCUAAUACUGACGCUGAGGUACGAAAGCAUGGGGAGCAAACAGGAUUAGAUACCCUGGUAGUCCAUGCCGUAAACGAUGUCUACUAGCCGUUGGGGCCUUUGAGGCUUUAGUGGCGCAGCUAACGCGAUAAGUAGACCGCCUGGGGAGUACGGUCGCAAGACUAAAACUCAAAUGAAUUGACGGGGGCCCGCACAAGCGGUAAUCG